Molecule: non-coding RNA, 105 nt
Filed under: Oceanobacillus oncorhynchi
Lineage: Bacteria; Bacillati; Bacillota; Bacilli; Caryophanales; Bacillaceae
Description: SAM-I sequence
Rfam family: SAM riboswitch aptamer (S box leader)
About the family: The SAM riboswitch is found upstream of a number of genes which code for proteins involved in methionine or cysteine biosynthesis in Gram-positive bacteria. The SAM riboswitch acts at the level of transcription termination control.
Source: Rfam by way of RNAcentral
UUCUUAUCCAGAGAGACGGAGGGACUGGCCCGACGAUGUCUCAGCAACCAGCUGCUUCUAGCAAGGUGCUAAUUCCAGAAGGGAACUCCCCUUUAAAGAUAAGAU